RNAcentral lists this ribosomal RNA (498 nucleotides) under uncultured bacterium. RNAcentral's name for it is "partial 16S ribosomal RNA". It matches the Rfam family "Bacterial small subunit ribosomal RNA", at positions 30 to 523 of the family's 1533-position model. The record is from RNAcentral.
AUUGAACGCUGGCGGCAUGCCUUACACAUGCAAGUCGAACGGUAACAGGUCUUCGGAUGCUGACGAGUGGCGAACGGGUGAGUAAUAUAUCGGAACGUGCCCAGUCGUGGGGGAUAACGCAGCGAAAGCUGUGCUAAUACCGCAUACGAUCUAUGGAUGAAAGCGGGGGAUCGCAAGACCUCGCGCGAUUGGAGCGGCCGAUAUCAGAUUAGGUAGUUGGUGGGGUAAAGGCCUACCAAGCCAACGAUCUGUAGCUGGUCUGAGAGGACGACCAGCCACACUGGAACUGAGACACGGUCCAGACUCCUACGGGAGGCAGCAGCGGGGAAUUUUGGACAAUGGGCGCAAGCCUGAUCCAGCAAUGCCGCGUGCAGGAUGAAGGCCUUCGGGUUGUAAACUGCUUUUGUACGGAACGAAAAGGCUCUGGUUAAUACCUGGGGCUCAUGACGGUACCGUAAGAAUAAGCACCGGCUAACUACGUGCCAGCCGCCGCGGUAA